This 253-nucleotide ribosomal RNA is filed under the name uncultured bacterium. RNAcentral's name for it is "partial 16S ribosomal RNA". It matches the Rfam family "Bacterial small subunit ribosomal RNA", at positions 524 to 776 of the family's 1533-position model. The record is from RNAcentral.
UACGGAGGGGGCUAGCGUUGUUCGGAAUUACUGGGCGUAAAGCGCACGUAGGCGGCUUUGCAAGUUAGAGGUGAAAGCCCGGGGCUCAACCCCGGAAUUGCCUUUAAAACUGCAUCGCUAGAAUUGUGGAGAGGUAAGUGGAAUUCCGAGUGUAGAGGUGAAAUUCGUAGAUAUUCGGAAGAACACCAGUGGCGAAGGCGACUUACUGGACACAUAUUGACGCUGGGGUGCGAAAGCGUGGGGAGCAAACAGG